AUUAAGGCCCCAUUUCUCCUCCGGGCCGGGUCUUCCAACCGCGGCGGGACCCGUGGGCCCUGGAAACGGACGACGAGUAGAGGCCGGGGAUCCACGACCGCCAGGGCUCGGAACGGGUGAGACACAGUAACCCGGUUGAACUCUGCAUCUGGAAAGCUGAAGACUGAAGAAAGAUAAGAGACAUUGACUAGUCUGGAAACAGGGACAUCUUUGGAACUUCGUUUUCAUCCACAGUAAACUUUUGAAGUGUCAUCAAUUGGAAUUGAUUUCUUCAUCUUAUUCUGCCUAUUGGGAAGAAAAUGGCUUCAAGGAUUUUAAGUUUCCCUUUAGUUUUACAUGAACUUUGUAGGAAACAGAGCCCUUAAAGGGCUUGGGAAUAACAAGAAGAGAUUGAAGACAGAGAAGCUUGCCCUGUUUUCCUUGCCCCUUCAAAGAAAAGGAUUUACAGCUCAAACUUACAACAGCUGUUGUCCAGCUUUAGCCAUCAAGAGAGAAAUAAAUUAAACCACCAUUG
RNAcentral lists this small RNA (514 nucleotides) under Pan troglodytes (chimpanzee). Its description in RNAcentral is "processed transcript". The record is from RNAcentral. Lineage: Eukaryota; Metazoa; Chordata; Mammalia; Primates; Hominidae.